RNAcentral lists this ribosomal RNA (541 nucleotides) under uncultured bacterium. Its description in RNAcentral is "bacterial SSU rRNA". It matches the Rfam family "Bacterial small subunit ribosomal RNA", at positions 777 to 1318 of the family's 1533-position model. The record is from RNAcentral.
AAUAGAUACCCGGGUAGUCCACGCUGUAAACGAUGGGUACUAGAUGUUGCAGGAAUUGACCCCUGCAGUGUCGACGCCAACGCAUUAAGUACCCCGCCUGGGAAGUACGGCCGCAAGGUUAAAACUCAAAGGAAUUGACGGGGGCCCGCACAAGCGGUGGAGCAUGUGGUUUAAUUCGAUGCAACGCGAAGAACCUUACCUGGGUUUGACAUCCCCAGACAGCCCUAGAGAUAGGGUUUCCUCUUCGGAGGCUGGGAGACAGGUGCUGCAUGGCUGUCGUCAGCUCGUAUCGUGAGAUGUCGGGUUAAGUCCCUUAACGAGCGCAACCCUUAUCCCUAGUUGCCAUCAUUCAGUUAGGCACUCUAAGGAGACCGCCGGCGUUAAGCCGGAGGAAGGCGGGGAUGACGUCAAGUCCUCAUGGCCUUUAUAUCCAGGGCUACACACGUGCUACAAUGGCGCAUACAAAGGGUAGCCAACCCGUAAGGGGGAGCUAAUCUCAGAAAGUGCGUCUCAGUUCGGAUUGAAGUCUGCAACUCGACUU